Molecule: long non-coding RNA, 1380 nt
Organism: Rhinopithecus roxellana (golden snub-nosed monkey)
Lineage: Eukaryota; Metazoa; Chordata; Mammalia; Primates; Cercopithecidae
Exons: 6
Source: RefSeq, a predicted model, not a curated record
CUGGGGGCCCUCUCCCUCGAUGGUGACUCCAUGCAAAGGUGGAGAGCCAUUCAGGAAACCCUGUGAUUGUACCUGUUAGGCAGGAGGGAACUUAUAUUUUUCCUAUUCCUAUAUCCCUGGUUUCUGGAAGUUUCCCGAUAGUGAGAAAUUAGAGAGGAUUAAUUUAUCUUUUCUCCACUCCAUCUGAGUGAGCCCUGGAGUGAAUACAGAGCCUUAACCAUGGAAAGCUGAGACGGGGAGAGGACUCUGCAGCAGGAGUCAGUAGAUGAGGAUUCUCAUCCUGCCACCCACGGUGUGAUUUUAGCAGCUCUCCGGGUUGCCAGGCGUUCCGCUUCCUCCCACCUGCCUCUUUUAGACUCCCCGCCCAGAGCCCUUUAACACUGACUGCCAGUGCAGGUGCUGGUGUAAGAAGCUGGGACUCUGCACACCCUGUGGUCCACGGCUCCUGCAGCGUGGGGCCGAUGUCACCUUCACAGGACUUCCACCCAAGCUUGCAGCCUUGAGACGCUGCCUCCUUCCCCGGCCUGCUCCCCACUCUCUCACAGGCCCCUUCCAAAGGUGCACCGAAGGAACCCUUUCCCGGUUGGCUCACCCUCCCUCUGGCUUCAGCUGAGUGCAACGGGGCUGUGUGCUGUCCACAACCUGAGGCCCUGGGCGUAGGGUGCACACUCAGCACUGGCCCUGCCGUGAAGGCACGCGUAUCCCUCCGCCCUACCUGUGUACAAAGAAAAGAUGCAGCUAUUUCCGAAUCGCUCCCCUCCAAGGACGCCUCUGCUCCCUCUCCGCCUGGCUGACUUUGCAGAGGUUGAAGGGGAAGACCUGGGAAGACACAUGCAAAUGAACCCCGCCUGGCUGCUGGGCAACCAGGGUGCUCAAGAUGCAAACUGAGCUGCAGCAAUAAAGUCAAAAGGAGGAGAAAGAAUGAAAUGACACAAUGCUCUUCACUGCUUAAAAUGAUUAGCAUAUUCCAGCAGCAACUCCUACAGCAGAAGUAUGCCACAUAGUGAUAAUUCUCUGUAUCAGAAGAAUGAGAUCGGGAGUUCGGGACGUUCCUGUUCAUAAAGUUACGUAUCUGUGGGUUCUGUUCUCGAUGAUUUUUCUCCCUAGUCUAUAGUCUGACUAAAAUCCAGCACGAGAAAUGUACAGAAGAGCUCCUGGAAAUGCCUUUUGUUUGAAAACACUGACUGCCUCACAGCUCAGAGCUGAGAACAGUGGACAAGUCUGGCUAUUAAGGAAUAAACCUUGUGAAGCAGUGUCCGCUUCUUGUACAGUGGAGAGUCUGAUUUGGGAUAAUUUGGGAUAUGGGCAAAUAUGUUCACCCACCUUAUUAAAAUGUGUUUAACUUGAUAUUUAUAUGAAACAGUUAUUAAACAUUUGAGA